RNAcentral lists this ribosomal RNA (529 nucleotides) under uncultured bacterium. RNAcentral's name for it is "bacterial SSU rRNA". It matches the Rfam family "Bacterial small subunit ribosomal RNA", at positions 397 to 916 of the family's 1533-position model. The record is from RNAcentral.
CCGCGUGAGUGAUGAAGGUUUUCGGAUCGUAAAACUCUGUUGUUAGGGAAGAACAAGUGCUAGUUGAAUAAGCUGGCACCUUGACGGUACCUAACCAGAAAGCCACGGCUAACUACGUGCCAGCAGCCGCGGUAAUACGUAGGUGGCAAGCGUUAUCCGGAAUUAUUGGGCGUAAAGCGCGCGCAGGUGGUUUCUUAAGUCUGAUGUGAAAGCCCACGGCUCAACCGUGGAGGGUCAUUGGAAACUGGGAGACUUGAGUGCAGAAGAGGAAAGUGGAAUUCCACGUGUAGCGGUGAAAUGCGUAGAUAUGUGGAGGAACACCAGUGGCGAAGGCGACUUUCUGGGCUGUAACUGACGCUGAGGCGCGAAAGCGUGGGGAGCAAACAGGAUUAGAUACCCUGGUAGUCCACGCCGUAAACGAUGAGUGCUAGGUGUUAGGGGUUUCGAUACCCUUGGUGCCGAAGUUAACACAGUAAGCACUCCGCCUGGGGAGUACGGUCGCAAGACUGAAACUCAAAGGAAUUGACGG